Molecule: ribosomal RNA, 842 nt
Filed under: uncultured bacterium
Lineage: Bacteria
Description: bacterial SSU rRNA
Rfam family: Bacterial small subunit ribosomal RNA
Source: RNAcentral
CAGUCGAGCGAUGAGAUCACUUCGGUGAAGGAUUAGCGGCGAACGGGUGAGGAACACGUGAAGAAUCUGCCUUCAACUCUGGGAUAACUCCGGGAAACCGGGGCUAAUACCGGAUAUGAGCCUUGAUCGCAUGAUCGGGGCUGGAAAGUUUUUCGGUUGAAGAUGACUUCGCGGCCUAUCAGCUUGUUGGUGAGGUAAUGGCUCACCAAGGCGACGACGGGUAGCCGGCCUGAGAGGGCGACCGGCCACACUGGGACUGAGACACGGCCCAGACUCCUACGGGAGGCAGCAGUGGGGAAUAUUGGGCAAUGGACGAAAGUCUGACCCAGCGACGCCGCGUGCGGGAUGAAGGCCUUCGGGUUGUAAACCGCUUUCAGCAGGGAAUAAGCGCAAGUGAAGGUACCUGCAGAAGAAGCACCGGCUAGCUAUGUGCCAGCAGCCGCGGUAAUACAUAGGGUGCAAGCGUUGUCCGGAAUUAUUGGGCGUAAAGAGCUCGUAGGUGGUUUGUUACGUCGGAUGUGAAAUUCAGGGGCUCAACCCCUGACUUGCAUCCAAUACGGGCAAGCUAGAGUUUGGUAGGGGAGACUGGAAUUCCUGGUGUAGCGGUGGAAUGCGCAGAUAUCAGGAGGAACACCGAUGGCGAAGGCAGGUCUCUGGGCCAAUACUGACACUGAGGAGCGAAAGCGUGGGGAGCGAACAGGAUUAGAUACCCUGGUAGUCCACGCCGUAAACGGUGGGCGCUAGUUGUGCGAACCUUCCACGGUUUGUGCGACGCAGCUAACGCAUUAAGCGCCCCGCCUGGGGAGUACGAUCGCAAGAUUAAAACUCAAAGGAAUUGACGG